RNAcentral lists this long non-coding RNA (352 nucleotides) under Homo sapiens (human). Its description in RNAcentral is "non-protein coding lnc-LRR1-6:1". The record is from RNAcentral. Lineage: Eukaryota; Metazoa; Chordata; Mammalia; Primates; Hominidae.
CUCUUCUAUUAAAUGAGUGCUGUUCAGAUUGAUUUUUACAGAAUAUUUCCAAAAUUCACAGUAGUUAAGAAAAUAUAAUUUGUAAUAUAAUGAAGUGCUUGGCUAAAAUGAAAUCCUUCUUACUAAAACUGCUUUCUCAGAAACAGUUAAUGAACCCAGAUUCACUUAAUUGAAAUGGAUCAGAAUGGUUUAAUAAUCUUGGUUUUAAAAAGUUUUUAAAAAUCAGCUUUAUGUCUUUUCCUUGCUAUCACUGUUAAAGAUAGCAUGAGUCUAUUUUAUUUUUAUAAGAUUUAAGAUAGCUUUAUUAUAAAGUGUCCUAAUUAGACUGAACUUCCUAAAUAUCUUAUAUAGG